AGUGAACGCUGGCGGUAGGCCUAACACAUGCAAGUCGAACGGCAGCACAGUAAGAGCUUGCUCUUACGGGUGGCGAGUGGCGGACGGGUGAGGAAUACAUCGGAAUCUACUUUUUCGUGGGGGAUAACGUAGGGAAACUUACGCUAAUACCGCAUACGACCUACGGGUGAAAGCAGGGGAUCUUCGGACCUUGCGCGAUUGAAUGAGCCGAUGUCGGAUUAGCUAGUUGGCGGGGUAAGGGCCCACCAAGGCGACGAUCCGUAGCUGGUCUGAGAGGAUGAUCAGCCACACUGGAACUGAGACACGGUCCAGACUCCUACGGGAGGCAGCAGUGGGGAAUAUUGGACAAUGGGCGAAAGCCUGAUCCAGCCAUACCGCGUGGGUGAAGAAGGCCUUCGGAUUGUAAAGCCCUUUUGUUGGGAAAGAAGAGCAGCAGGUUAAUACCCCGCUGUUCUGACGGUACCCAAAGAAUAAGCACCGGCUAACUUCGUG
This 492-nucleotide ribosomal RNA is filed under the name uncultured bacterium. Its description in RNAcentral is "partial 16S ribosomal RNA". It matches the Rfam family "Bacterial small subunit ribosomal RNA", at positions 29 to 507 of the family's 1533-position model. The record is from RNAcentral.